This 407-nucleotide ribosomal RNA is filed under the name uncultured bacterium. Its description in RNAcentral is "partial 16S ribosomal RNA". It matches the Rfam family "Bacterial small subunit ribosomal RNA", at positions 28 to 526 of the family's 1533-position model. The record is from RNAcentral.
GACGAACGCUGGCGGCGUGCCUAAUACAUGCAAGUAGAACGCAGUUGCGAACGGGUGAGUAACGCGUAGGUAACUGCCUCAUAGCGGGGGAUAACUAUUGGAAACGAUAGCUAAUACCGCAUACUGUGAGAUGGACCUGCGUUGUAUUAGCUAGUUGGUGAGGUAAAGGCUCACCAAGGCGACGAUACAGAGCCGACCUGAGAGGGUGGUCGGCCCACAUGGGAAUGGGCAACGGCGCAGCAUUCUUCGGGAGGCCGCAGUAGGGAAUCUUCGGCAAUUGACGGCAGUCUGAACGAGCAACGCCGGGUGAGUGAAGAAGGUUUUCGGAUCGUAAAGCUCUGUUGUUAGAGAAGCGUUAACUACCCAGAAAGGGCCGGCUAACUACGUGCCAGCAGCCGCGGUAAUUC